Molecule: ribosomal RNA, 253 nt
Filed under: uncultured bacterium
Lineage: Bacteria
Description: partial 16S ribosomal RNA
Rfam family: Bacterial small subunit ribosomal RNA
Source: RNAcentral
UACAGAGGGGGCAAGCGUUGUUCGGAAUUACUGGGCGUAAAGGGCGCGUAGGCGGCCUGCUAAGUCGAACGUGAAAUCCCUGGGCUCAACCCAGGAACUGCGUCUGAUACUGGUUGGCUUGAAUCCGGGAGAGGGAUGCGGAAUUCCAGGUGUAGCGGUGAAAUGCGUAGAUAUCUGGAGGAACACCGGUGGCGAAGGCGGCAUCCUGGACCGGCAUUGACGCUGAGGCGCGAAAGCCAGGGGAGCAAACGGG